GACCCGUCUUUGGAGCACGGACCAAGGAGUCCAACAUGUGCGCGAGUCUAAGGGUUGAUGAAACCUGGAGGCGAAAUGAAAGUGAGAGUGGCCCCUUUUAGGGGCUUGACAGGCCGAUCCCUGGUCUUGGAACUGUCAGUUGCUUGGACAGUCCAGCGUACGUGGCCACGCAAGUGGCGGGCGUGCUGGGUGUGCAUGGCGGCUGGUGGGAACGAGGCUGCCCACUUUGUGGGUUAUUGGGCGCAGGCCGAGGACUUGCCAUAGUUCGGCGCGGGCAACGGGUUCCUCCUCACGGGGGUUCCUUAUCCCGAUGUCCGGCGGCAAGUACCUGAGAGCGCAGCCGUUGGGACCCGAAAGAUGGUGAACUAUGCCUGGCGAGGACGAAGCCAGAGGAAACUCUGGUGGAGGUCCGAAGCAGUUCUGACGUGCAAAUCGAUUGUCAGAGCUGGGUAUAGGGGCGAAAGACUAAUCGAACCAUCUAGUAC
This 485-nucleotide ribosomal RNA is filed under the name Macrobrachium mammillodactylus. RNAcentral describes it as "eukaryotic LSU rRNA". It matches the Rfam family "Eukaryotic large subunit ribosomal RNA", at positions 646 to 950 of the family's 3401-position model. Lineage: Eukaryota; Metazoa; Arthropoda; Malacostraca; Decapoda; Palaemonidae. The record is from RNAcentral.